RNAcentral lists this transfer RNA (87 nucleotides) under SAR324 cluster bacterium. RNAcentral's name for it is "tRNA-Leu". It matches the Rfam family "tRNA". Rfam says of the family: Transfer RNA (tRNA) molecules are approximately 80 nucleotides in length. Their secondary structure includes four short double-helical elements and three loops (D, anti-codon, and T loops). Further hydrogen bonds mediate the characteristic L-shaped molecular structure. tRNAs have two regions of fundamental functional importance: the anti-codon, which is responsible for specific mRNA codon recognition, and the 3' end, to which the tRNAs corresponding amino acid is attached (by aminoacyl-tRNA synthetases). tRNAs cope with the degeneracy of the genetic code in two manners: having more than one tRNA (with a specific anti-codon) for a particular amino acid; and 'wobble' base-pairing, i.e. permitting non-standard base-pairing at the 3rd anti-codon position. Lineage: Bacteria; Deltaproteobacteria. The record is from RNAcentral.
GCCGGGGUGGCGAAACUGGUAGACGCGCCAGACUCAAAAUCUGGUGGGGGUAACCCCGUGUCGGUUCGAGCCCGACCCUCGGUACCA